Molecule: transfer RNA, 83 nt
Filed under: Candidatus Wolbachia massiliensis
Lineage: Bacteria; Pseudomonadati; Pseudomonadota; Alphaproteobacteria; Rickettsiales; Anaplasmataceae
Description: tRNA-Leu
Rfam family: tRNA
About the family: Transfer RNA (tRNA) molecules are approximately 80 nucleotides in length.
Source: RNAcentral
GCCCCUGUGGUGGAAUGGUAGACACGGCAGACUCAAAAUCUGUUGCUUGCAGAAGCAUGCUGGUUCAAGUCCGGCCAGGGGCA